This is a non-coding RNA of Ornithorhynchus anatinus (platypus), 121 nucleotides long. RefSeq annotates it as microRNA mir-1421m. The record is from RefSeq and is marked provisional. Lineage: Eukaryota; Metazoa; Chordata; Mammalia; Monotremata; Ornithorhynchidae. The transcript has a single exon.
UCCAGGUUCCCGAAUGACAUACGGCACGGUGUGAGGACGUCGUACGUCAUGCAGAGUUGAUGGCGGAUUAUGUUGCAUUGCGUGCGACGUCCCUACACAGCGCUGGCUCUUUCUGGCCAGA